RNAcentral lists this ribosomal RNA (407 nucleotides) under uncultured bacterium. RNAcentral's name for it is "bacterial SSU rRNA". It matches the Rfam family "Bacterial small subunit ribosomal RNA", at positions 364 to 768 of the family's 1533-position model. The record is from RNAcentral.
UUGGACAAUGGAGGCAACUCUGACCCAGCCAUGCCGCGUGAAGGAAUAAGGCCCUAUGGGUUGUAAACUUCUUUUAGACGGGACAAAACCCCUUUACGUGUAAAGGGUUGAUGGUACUGUCAGAAUAAGCAUCGGCUAACUUCGUGCCAGCAGCCGCGGUAAUACGAAGGAUGCAAGCGUUAUCCGGAAUUAUUGGGUUUAAAGGGUGCGUAGGCGGACUAAUAAGUCAGUGGUGAAAGCCUGCAGCUUAACUGCAGAAGUGCCAUUGAUACUGUUAGUCUUGAGUACAGUUGAGGUAGGCGGAAUGUGUCAUGUAGCGGUGAAAUGCUUAGAUAUGACACAGAACACCGAUUGCGAAGGCAGCUUGCUAAACUGUAACUGACGCUGAGGCACGAAAGCGUGGGGAG